This is a non-coding RNA of Picea glauca (white spruce), 543 nucleotides long. The record is from Rfam. NCBI's taxonomy places the organism in Eukaryota, Viridiplantae, Streptophyta, Pinopsida, Pinales, Pinaceae.
AAUUUUCCGAUGAAUUUGUGCAUAAAUGUGCAUUUAAGUUGUUGUAGUUAAAAAUCUCGUAGUUGGAUCUUGGAUCGUAAAGGUCGGUCCGCCUACUUGGUGUACACCUGCCCUUCCACCCUUUUGUCAGUGGCGUGCUCCUGGCCUUAAUUGGAUGGGUCGCAGUUCCGACAUUACUUUGAAAAACAUAUAGUGCUCAAAUCAAGCUUAUGCUAUGAAUACAUUAGCAUGGAAUAAAACGAUAGGAGUUUGGUCCUAUUGUGUUAGACUUCGAGACCAAAGUAAUGAUUAAUAGGGACUGUCGGGGGCAUUCGUAUUUCAUUGUCAGAGGUGAAAUUCUUGGAUUUAUGAAAGACGAACCACUGUGAAAGAAUUUUCCAAGGAUGUUUUCAUUAAUCAAAAAAGAAAGUUGGGGGCUCGAAGACGAUCAUAUAACAUCCUAGUCUCAACCAUAAACGAUGCCAACUAGGGAUCAACGGAUGUUUCUCUAAGGACUCCGCCAACACCUUAUGAGAAAUCAGAGUGUUUGGGUUCCGGUGGGAU